Molecule: ribosomal RNA, 209 nt
Filed under: Alphaproteobacteria bacterium
Lineage: Bacteria; Pseudomonadati; Pseudomonadota; Alphaproteobacteria
Description: partial 23S ribosomal RNA
Rfam family: Bacterial large subunit ribosomal RNA
Source: RNAcentral
CACCUCUGGUGGACCUGUCGUGGCGCCAGCCGCGCAGCAGGGUAGCUAAGUGUGGACGGGAUAACCGCUGAAAGCAUCUAAGCGGGAAACCCACCUCAAAACAAGGCUUCGCCGAGAGCCGUGGUAGACCACCACGUUGAUAGGCCAGGUGUGGAAGCGCCGCGAGGCGUGUAGCUUACUGGUACUAAUCGCUCGAUCGGCUUGAUCGU